GUAGGUGGCAAGCGUUGUCCGGAAUUAUUGGGCGUAAAGCGCGCGCAGGCGGUUCUUUAAGUCUGAUGUGAAAGCCCACGGCUCAACCGUGGAGGGUCAUUGGAAACUGGAGAACUUGAGUACAGAAGAGGAAAGCGGAAUUCCACGUGUAGCGGUGAAAUGCGUAGAGAUGUGGAGGAACACCAGUGGCGAAGGCGGCUCUCUGGUCUGUAACUGACGCUGAGGCGCGAAAGCGUGGGGAGCAAACAGGAUUAGAUACCCUGGUAGUCCACGCCGUAAACGAUGAGUGCUAAGUGUUAGGGGGGUUUUCCGCCCCCCUUAGUGCUGCAGCUAACGCAUUAAGCACUCCGCCUGGGAGUACGGCCGCAAGGCUG
Molecule: ribosomal RNA, 374 nt
Filed under: uncultured organism
Description: partial 16S ribosomal RNA
Rfam family: Bacterial small subunit ribosomal RNA
Source: RNAcentral